GACGAACGCUGGCGGCGUGCUUAACACAUGCAAGUCGAACGGAAAGGCCCUGCUUGCAGGGUACUCGAGUGGCGAACGGGUGAGUAACACGUGGGUGAUCUGCCCUGCACUUCGGGAUAAGCCUGGGAAACUGGGUCUAAUACCGGAUAGGAGCCAUUUUUAGUGUGAUGGCUGGAAAGUUUUUUUCGGUGUAGGAUGAGCUCGCGGCCUAUCAGCUUGUUGGUGGGGUAAUGGCCUACCAAGGCGGCGACGGGUAGCCGGCCUGAGAGGGUGGACGGCCACAUUGGGACUGAGAUACGGCCCAGACUCCUACGGGAGGCAGCGGUGGGGAAUAUUGCACAAUGGGCGCAAGCCUGAUGCAGCGACGCCGCGUGGGGGAUGACGGCCUUCGGGUUGUAAACUCCUUUCGCUAGGGACGAAGCUUUUUGUGACGGUACCUAGAUAAGAAGCACCGGCUAACUACGUG
This 466-nucleotide ribosomal RNA is filed under the name uncultured bacterium. RNAcentral describes it as "partial 16S ribosomal RNA". It matches the Rfam family "Bacterial small subunit ribosomal RNA", at positions 28 to 507 of the family's 1533-position model. The record is from RNAcentral.